This 71-nucleotide transfer RNA is filed under the name Marmota monax (woodchuck). Its description in RNAcentral is "tRNA.Ala". It matches the Rfam family "tRNA". From Rfam's summary of the family: Transfer RNA (tRNA) molecules are approximately 80 nucleotides in length. Their secondary structure includes four short double-helical elements and three loops (D, anti-codon, and T loops). The record is from RNAcentral. Lineage: Eukaryota; Metazoa; Chordata; Mammalia; Rodentia; Sciuridae.
GGGGUUGUGGCUCGGUGGUAGAGCGCUCACCUGGCAUGUGUGAGGCCCUGGGUUCAAUCCUCAACGCCACA